GGGGCUGUAGCUUAACGGAAAAGCGAGGUUCUUAAUAAAUGCAGGAGUGAAAAUUUGUGCAUUUAUUAAAACCCUGCAUGCGGGUUCGAAUCCCGUCAGCUCCA
RNAcentral lists this transfer RNA (104 nucleotides) under Leptospira sp. B5-022. RNAcentral's name for it is "tRNA-Leu". It matches the Rfam family "tRNA". Rfam says of the family: Transfer RNA (tRNA) molecules are approximately 80 nucleotides in length. Their secondary structure includes four short double-helical elements and three loops (D, anti-codon, and T loops). Lineage: Bacteria; Pseudomonadati; Spirochaetota; Leptospiria; Leptospirales; Leptospiraceae. The record is from RNAcentral.